Molecule: ribosomal RNA, 400 nt
Filed under: phytoplankton environmental sample
Lineage: Eukaryota
Description: partial small subunit ribosomal RNA
Rfam family: Eukaryotic small subunit ribosomal RNA
Source: RNAcentral
AGCUCCAAUAGCGUAUAUUAAAGUUGUUGCGGUUAAAAAGCUCGUAGUUGGAUUUCUGCUGAGGACGACCGGUCCGCCCUCUGGGUGAGUAUCUGGCUCGACCUUGGCAUCUUCUUGAAGAACGUAACUGCACUUGACUGUGUGGUGCGGUAUUCAAGACUUUUACUUUGAGGAAAUUAGAGUGUUCAAGGCAGGCUCGCCAGCUUGAAUACAUGAGCAUGGAAUAAUGGAAUAGGACUACGGUCCCUAUUUCGUUGGUUUGACGGACCGAAGUAAUGAUUAAGAGGGACAAUUGGGGGCAUCCGUAUUUCGUAGUCAGAGGUGAAAUUCUUGGACCUACGAAAGACGAACAACUGCGAAAGCAUUUGCCAAGAGUGUUUUCAUUAAUCAAGAACGAAAG